AGUGAUGUAUAGAGAAGACUGCAACCGUAGUCUCGUUCUAACCUUGGUAAGGAUGAUCUACUGUUCUAUUGGGGAGGCUCACGGAAUCUAGACAACACAAAGGAUGUUCGACCCGCACCUAUAAACCUACCCAUCCUGCUAACGAGAUGUGAUCUGCAAAGGUAACUCGGAAAUGUCACGUUCCUCGCUACUACCACGGUCCAGCUAGU
RNAcentral lists this long non-coding RNA (209 nucleotides) under Sorghum bicolor (sorghum). Its description in RNAcentral is "long non-coding RNA (SBIC_LNC008845)". Lineage: Eukaryota; Viridiplantae; Streptophyta; Magnoliopsida; Poales; Poaceae. The record is from RNAcentral.